Molecule: long non-coding RNA, 453 nt
Filed under: Mustela putorius furo (domestic ferret)
Lineage: Eukaryota; Metazoa; Chordata; Mammalia; Carnivora; Mustelidae
Description: lncRNA (ENSMPUG00000024875.1)
Source: RNAcentral
CUUUAUGCAAAAUGCAAAGCUGCCGACAUGGCGCGAGUCAGGAUAACCCUACACUGGAUCCUCUCCAUCAACACACGAACUUGCCGUGAGAUCUCCCAAGUUACAUAUUAUUUUAGUAAACAGCUUUCUAUGAUUUCUUCACACUGACCAUCUCCUACCCAAUUUCUCUCUGGCCUAGGAAACUAAAACUGUGAAAACUGUCUGGACUCACCGUAUCUCUUUCUUUACCUCCCAUUCUCGUCAGAGUUUCACUCCUACUGCCAUUCUCAAGACCUCCAGCAAGCCUGAUGCCUCCCGAUGAAAGGGCUAUUUCCUUGGAUGACUUCUGGGACACCCAGGUCUUCUGAGUGCCCCCUUAUCUCCAUGGGCCACUGCAUUUCACCUGUCUCAUCUUUCUGACCUUGGAACUGAGUACCAGUUCCCAGCCCUAGAGCUUUUUGCCUAUUAUUGCCC